GAUGAACGCUGGCGGCGUGCCUAAUACAUGCAAGUCGAGCGAACAGAUAAGGAGCUUGCUCCUUUGACGUUAGCGGCGGACGGGUGAGUAACACGUGGGUAACCUACCUAUAAGACUGGAAUAACUCCGGGAAACCGGGGCUAAUGCCGGAUAACAUUUAGAACCGCAUGGUUCUAAAGUGAAAGAUGGUUUUGCUAUCACUUAUAGAUGGACCCGCGCCGUAUCAGCUAGUUGGUAAGGUAACGGCUUACCAAGGCAACGAUACGUAGCCGACCUGAGAGGGUGAUCGGCCACACUGGAACUGAGACACGGUCCAGACUCCUACGGGAGGCAGCAGUAGGGAAUCUUCCGCAAUGGGCGAAAGCCUGACGGAGCAACGCCGCGUGAGUGAUGAAGGUCUUCGGAUCGUAAAACUCUGUUAUUAGGGAAGAACAAAUGUGUAAGUAACUGUGCACGUCUUGACGGUACCUAAUCAGAAAGCCACGGCUAACUACGUG
RNAcentral lists this ribosomal RNA (497 nucleotides) under uncultured bacterium. Its description in RNAcentral is "partial 16S ribosomal RNA". It matches the Rfam family "Bacterial small subunit ribosomal RNA", at positions 28 to 507 of the family's 1533-position model. The record is from RNAcentral.